RNAcentral lists this ribosomal RNA (914 nucleotides) under uncultured organism. RNAcentral's name for it is "bacterial SSU rRNA". It matches the Rfam family "Bacterial small subunit ribosomal RNA", at positions 22 to 954 of the family's 1533-position model. The record is from RNAcentral.
GCUCAGCGCGAACGCUGGCGGCAUGGCUAGAACAUGCAAGUCGAACGCGAAACCGGCUUCGGCCGGGAGUAGAGUGGCGAACGGGCGAGUAAUGCGUUUCUAACGUGCCCCGAGGUCGGGGAUAGCUCACCGAAAGGUGUGGUAAUACCCGAUGACCUCCGCGGAUCGCAUGGUCUGCGGAGCAAAGGCUUGCUGCCUCGGGAUCGGGAAACGUGCUAUCAGGUAGUUGGUGGGGUAACGGCUCACCAAGCCGAAGACGGCUAGCGGGUGUGAGAGCAUGACCCGCCGCAUCGGAACUGAGACACUGUCCGGACUCCUACGGGAGGCUGCAGUAACGGAUCUUCCGCAAUGCGCGAAAGCGUGACGGAGCAAUGCCGCGUGCGGGAUGAAGCCCCUUGGGGUGUAAACCGCUGUCAGGGCCUAGGAAUUCUGACCAGGCCCAGAGGAAGGACCGGCUAACUUCGUGCCAGCAGCCGCGGUAAGACGAAGGGUCCAAGCGUUGCGCGGAAUCACUGGGCUUAAAGCGUGCGCAGGCGGGUAUGUAAGUGCCUUGUGAAAUCCCACCGCUCAACGGUGGAAUUGCAGGGCAUACUGCAUACCUUGAGGUCGGUAGAGGUGCCCGGAACUGUAGGUGUAGCGGUGAAAUGCGUAGAUAUCUACAGGAACGCCGAAGGUGAAGACAGGGCACUGGGCCGAUUCUGACGCUCAGGCACGAAAGCGUGGGGAGCAAACAGGAUUAGAUACCCUGGUAGUCCACGCCGUAAACAAUGUGUACUAGAUCCGGGAGGUUCUGACACCAUCCGGAUCGAAGCUAAAGUGUUAAGUACACCGCCUGGGGAGUACGGUCGCAAGGCUAAAACUCAAAGGAAUUGACGGGGGCUCACACAAGCGGUGAAGCAUGUUGCUUAAUUCGA